GACGAACGCUGGCGGCGUGCUUAACACAUGCCAGUCGAACGGAAAGGCCCUGCUUUUGUGGGGUGCUCGAGUGGCGAACGGGUGAGUAACACGUGAGUAACCUGCCCUUGACUUUGGGAUAACUUCAGGAAACUGGGGCUAAUACCGGAUAGGAGCUCCUGCUUCAUGGUGGGGGUUGGAAAGUUUCGGCGGUUGGGGAUGGAAUCGCGGCUUAUCAGCUUGUUGGUGGGGUAGUGGCUUACCAAGGCUUUGACGGGUAGCCGGCCUGAGAGGGUGACCGGCCACAUUGGGACUGAGAUACGGCCCAGACUCCUACGGGAGGCAGCAGUGGGGAAUAUGGCACAAUAGGCGGAAGCCGUAUGCAGCAACGCCGCGUGCGGGAUGACGGCCUUCGGGUUGUAAACCGCUUUCGCCUGUGACGAAGCGUGAGUGACGGUAAUGGGUAAAGAAGCACCGGCUAACUACGUG
This 468-nucleotide ribosomal RNA is filed under the name uncultured bacterium. RNAcentral's name for it is "partial 16S ribosomal RNA". It matches the Rfam family "Bacterial small subunit ribosomal RNA", at positions 28 to 507 of the family's 1533-position model. The record is from RNAcentral.